Molecule: transfer RNA, 71 nt
Filed under: Caudoviricetes sp.
Lineage: Duplodnaviria; Heunggongvirae; Uroviricota; Caudoviricetes
Description: tRNA-Arg
Rfam family: tRNA
About the family: Transfer RNA (tRNA) molecules are approximately 80 nucleotides in length. Their secondary structure includes four short double-helical elements and three loops (D, anti-codon, and T loops).
Source: RNAcentral
CGCGGAUUGAUGUAAUGGCAGCAUGCCGGUUUCCUUGUCCGGUAGCGGUGGUUCGAUUCCACUGUCCGCAA